Molecule: ribosomal RNA, 1403 nt
Filed under: uncultured bacterium
Lineage: Bacteria
Description: 16S ribosomal RNA
Rfam family: Bacterial small subunit ribosomal RNA
Source: RNAcentral
AGAGUUUGAUCCUGGCUCAGGAUGAACGCUAGCGACAGGCUUAACACAUGCAAGUCGAGGGGCAGCGGGGGCGAAGCUUGCUUCGCCUGCCGGCGACCGGCGCACGGGUGAGUAACACGUAUGCAACCUGCCCGCCACAGAGGGAUAAUCGGGAGAAAUCCCGUCUAAUACCGCAUGACGCCCUAUAGGGACAUCCCUUUGGGGCCAAAGGAGCGAUCCGGUGGCGGAUGGGCAUGCGUCGCAUUAGGUAGUCGGUGGGGUAACGGCCCACCGAGCCGACGAUGCGUAGGGGUUCUGAGAGGAAGGUCCCCCACACUGGUACUGAGACACGGACCAGACUCCUACGGGAGGCAGCAGUGAGGAAUAUUGGUCAAUGGCCGAGAGGCUGAACCAGCCAAGCCGCGUGAGGGAAGAAGGCCCUACGGGUCGUAAACCUCUUUUGUCAGGGAACAAAAACCGGUACGUGUACCGGGUUGAGUGUACCUGAAGAAAAAGCAUCGGCUAACUCCGUGCCAGCAGCCGCGGUAAUACGGAGGAUGCGAGCGUUAUCCGGAUUUAUUGGGUUUAAAGGGUGCGUAGGCGGACUUUUAAGUCAGCGGUGAAAGCCCGGGGGCUCAACCCCGGCGAGCCGUUGAAACUGGAGGUCUUGAGUUGGAGAGAGGUAAGCGGAAUGCGCAGUGUAGCGGUGAAAUGCUUAGAUAUUGCGCAGAACUCCGAUUGCGAAGGCAGCUUACUGGCUCCAUACUGACGCUGAGGCACGAAAGCGUGGGUAUCGAACAGGAUUAGAUACCCUGGUAGUCCACGCAGUAAACGAUGAAUGCUGGUUGUCCGGAGGGAUUGACCUCUGGGCGGCGAAGCGAAAGCGAUAAGCAUUCCACCUGGGGAGUACGCCGGCAACGGUGAAACUCAAAGGAAUUGACGGGGGCCCGCACGAGCGGAGGAACAUGUGGUUUAAUUCGAUGAUACGCGAGGAACCUUACCCGGGCUCAAACGGCACAGGCCAGUCGCAGAGACGCGAUCUUCCUACGGGACCUGUGCCGAGGUGCUGCAUGGUUGUCGUCAGCUCGUGCCGUGAGGUGUCGGCUUAAGUGCCAUAACGAGCGCAACCCCUGCCGGUAGUUGCUAACGGUUCAGCCGAGGACUCUGCCGGGACUGCCAGCGCAAGCUGUGAGGAAGGCGGGGAUGACGUCAAAUCAGCACGGCCCUUACGUCCGGGGCGACACACGUGUUACAAUGGGUGGUACAGCGGGAAGCCAUGUGGCGACACAGAGCAGAACCCGAAAGCCACUCUCAGUUCGGAUCGGAGUCUGCAACCCGACUCCGUGAAGCUGGAUUCGCUAGUAAUCGCGCAUCAGCCAUGGCGCGGUGAAUACGUUCCCGGGCCUUGUACACACCGCCCGUCA